RNAcentral lists this ribosomal RNA (465 nucleotides) under Vreelandella stevensii. Its description in RNAcentral is "partial 16S ribosomal RNA". It matches the Rfam family "Bacterial small subunit ribosomal RNA", at positions 338 to 795 of the family's 1533-position model. The record is from RNAcentral. Lineage: Bacteria; Pseudomonadati; Pseudomonadota; Gammaproteobacteria; Oceanospirillales; Halomonadaceae.
CCUACGGGUGGCAGCAGUGGGGAAUAUUGGACAAUGGGGGCAACCCUGAUCCAGCCAUGCCGCGUGUGUGAAGAAGGCCCUCGGGUUGUAAAGCACUUUCAGUGAGGAAGAACGCCUGGUGGUUAAUACCCAUCAGGAAAGACAUCACUCACAGAAGAAGCACCGGCUAACUCCGUGCCAGCAGCCGCGGUAAUACGGAGGGUGCGAGCGUUAAUCGGAAUUACUGGGCGUAAAGCGCGCGUAGGUGGCUUGAUAAGCCGGUUGUGAAAGCCCCGGGCUCAACCUGGGAACGGCAUCCGGAACUGUCAAGCUAGAGUGCAGGAGAGGAAGGUAGAAUUCCCGGUGUAGCGGUGAAAUGCGUAGAGAUAGGGAGGAAUACCAGUGGCGAAGGCGGCCUUCUGGACUGACACUGACACUGAGGUGCGAAAGCGUGGGUAGCAAACAGGAUUAGAUACCCUUGUAGUC